RNAcentral lists this unclassified non-coding RNA (345 nucleotides) under soil metagenome. Its description in RNAcentral is "partial contains 5.8S ribosomal RNA, internal transcribed spacer 2, and large subunit ribosomal RNA". The stretch from base 1 to 119 matches the Rfam family "5.8S ribosomal RNA", at positions 35 to 154 of the family's 154-position model. The record is from RNAcentral.
GAUGAAGAACGUAGCGAAAUGCGAUACGUAAUGUGAAUUGCAAAUUCAGUGAAUCAUCGAGUCUUUGAACGCACAUUGCGCCCCCUGGUAUUCCGGGGGGCAUGCCUGUCCGAGCGUCAUUGCUGCCCUCAAGCACGGCUUGUGUGUUGGGCCCCGUCCUCCGAUCCCGGGGGACGGGCCCGAAAGGCAGCGGCGGCACCGCGUCCGGUCCUCGAGCGUAUGGGGCUUUGUCACCCGCUCUGUAGGCCCGGCCGGCGCUUGCCGAUCAACCCAAAUUUUUAUCCAGGUUGACCUCGGCUCAGGUAGGGAUACCCGCUGAACUUAAGCAUAUCAAUAAGCGGAGGA